This is a long non-coding RNA of Athalia rosae (coleseed sawfly), 1541 nucleotides long. RefSeq lists it as uncharacterized. The transcript has 5 exons. The record is from RefSeq and is a predicted model, not a curated record. Lineage: Eukaryota; Metazoa; Arthropoda; Insecta; Hymenoptera; Athaliidae.
UACUGCAGAGAGUGGAGCGCCCUAGUGUCAUGAAUUGCAAGCACAGUACGGAUAGGAGUUUUGGAAUUCAGUGUUGGCCCCACAUCAAAUUAAAGCCCAUGAUCCUGAUCAUCGAAGGAUCAUUCCGGUAGACAUAAUAGCCGAGUUGAGGGCGCGGAAAGCUGCACAGCACCGCAGCAGCCACCACAGGAGCCAUCACAGCCCGCUGCUGCUGCAGCUUCGCCAUCGCAGCCCGCAUCGCAGAUUAGACCGGCACGGGUGGCAGCGAAGAGAGCGGGAGAGAAGGAAAAAAAAAGGAAAAGAAGUGGGAAAAGAGGCAGCACUACUGCAGAGAGUGGAGCGCCCUAGUGUCAUGAAUUGCAAGCACAGUACGGAUAGGAGUUUCGGAAUUCAGUGUUGGCCCCACAUCAAAUUAAAGCCCAUGAUCCUGAUCAUCGAAGGAUCAUUCCGGUAGACAUAAUAGCCGAGUUGAGGGCGCGGAAAGCUGCACAGCACCGCAGCAGCCACCACAGGAGCCAUCACAGCCCGCUGCUGCUGCAGCUUCGCCAUCGCAGCCCGCAUCGCAGAUUAGACCGGCACGGGUGGCAGCGAAGAGAGCGGGAGAGAAGGAAAAAAAAAGGAAAAGAAGUGGGAAAAGAGGCAGCACUACUGCAGAGAGUGGAGCGCCCUAGUGUCAUGAAUUGCAAGCACAGUACGGAUAGGAGUUUCGGAAUUCAGUGUUGGCCCCACAUCAAAUUAAAGCCCAUGAUCCUGAUCAUCGAAGGAUCAUUCCGUCAGACAUAAUAGCCGAGUUGAGGGCGCGGAAAGCUGCACAGCACCGCAGCAGCCACCACAGGACCCAUCACAGCCCGCUGCUGCUGCAGCUUCGCCAUCGCAGCCCGAGGCGCAGACUGGACCGGCACGGGCGGCAGCGAAGAGAGCGGGAGAGAAGGAAAAAAAAAGGAAAAGAAGUGGGAAAAGAGGCAGCACUACUGCAGAGAGUGGAGCGCCCUAGUGUCAUGAAUUGCAAGCACAGUACGGAUAGGAGUUUCGGAAUUCAGUGUUGGCCCCACAUCAAAUUAAAGCCCAUGAUCCUGAUCAUCGAAGGAUCAUUCCGGUAGACAUAAUAGCCGAGUUGAGGGCGCGGAAAGCUGCACAGCACCGCAGCAGCCACCACAGGAGCCAUCACAGCCCGCUGCUGCUGCAGCUUCGCCAUCGCAGCCCGCAUCGCAGAUUAGACCGGCACGGGUGGCAGCGAAGAGAGCGGGAGAGAAGGAAAAAAAAAGGAAAAGAAGUGGGAAAAGAGGCAGCACUACUGCAGAGAGUGGAGCGCCCUAGUGUCAUGAAUUGCAAGCACAGUACGGAUAGGAGUUUCGGAAUUCAGUGUUGGCCCCACAUCAAAUUAAAGCCCAUGAUCCUGAUCAUCGAAGGAUCAUUCCGGUAGACAUAAUAGCCGAGUUGAGGGCGCGGAAAGCUGCACAGCACCGCAGCAGCCACCACAGGAGCCAUCACAGCCCGCUGCUGCUGCAGCUUCGCCAUCGCAGCCCGCAUCGCAGAUUAGA